RNAcentral lists this ribosomal RNA (490 nucleotides) under uncultured bacterium. Its description in RNAcentral is "partial 16S ribosomal RNA". It matches the Rfam family "Bacterial small subunit ribosomal RNA", at positions 30 to 507 of the family's 1533-position model. The record is from RNAcentral.
AUUGAACGCUGGCGGCAGGCCUAACACAUGCAAGUCGAACGGUAACAGGAAGCAGCUUGCUGCUUCGCUGACGAGUGGCGGACGGGUGAGUAAUGUCUGGGAAGCUGCCUGAUGGAGGGGGAUAACUACUGGAAACGGUAUCUAAUACCGCAUAAUGUCGCAAGACCAAAGAGGGGGACCUUCGGGCCUCUUGCCAUCGGAUGUGCCCAGAUGGGAUUAGCUUGUUGGUGGGGUAACGGCUCACCAAGGCGACGAUCCCUAGCUGGUCUGAGAGGAUGACCAGCCACACUGGAACUGAGACACGGUCCAGACUCCUACGGGAGGCAGCAGUGGGGAAUAUUGCACAAUGGGCGCAAGCCUGAUGCAGCCAUGCCGCGUGUAUGAAGAAGGCCUUCGGGUUGUAAAGUACUUUCAGCGGGGAGGAAGGGAGUAAAGUUAAUACCUUUGCUCAUUGACGUUACCCGCAGAAGAAGCACCGGCUAACUCCGUG